RNAcentral lists this ribosomal RNA (848 nucleotides) under Arthrobacter sp. TSA45. RNAcentral's name for it is "bacterial SSU rRNA". It matches the Rfam family "Bacterial small subunit ribosomal RNA", at positions 12 to 872 of the family's 1533-position model. Lineage: Bacteria; Bacillati; Actinomycetota; Actinomycetes; Micrococcales; Micrococcaceae. The record is from RNAcentral.
UUUGAUCCUGGCUCAGGAUGAACGCUGGCGGCGUGCUUAACACAUGCAAGUCGGACGAUGAAGCCCUUCGGGGUGGAUUAGUGGCGAACGGGUGAGUAACACGUGAGCAACCUGCCCUUGACUCUGGGAUAAGCCUGGGAAGCUGGGUCUAAUACCGGAUAGUACCUUCUGCCGCAUGGUGGGGGGUGGAAAGCCUUGUGCGGUCUUGGAUGGGCUCGCGGCCUAUCAGCUUGUUGGUGGGGUGAUGGCCUACCAAGGCGACGACGGGUAGCCGGCCUGAGAGGGUGACCGGCCACACUGGGACUGAGACACGGCCCAGACUCCUACGGGAGGCAGCAGUGGGGAAUAUUGCACAAUGGGCGCAAGCCUGAUGCAGCGACGCCGCGUGGGGGAUGACGGCCUUCGGGUUGUAAACCCCUUUCGGCAGGGGACAAGCCUUCGGGUGAGGGUACCUGCGGAAGAAGCGCCGGCUAACUACGUGCCAGCAGCCGCGGUAAUACGUAGGGCGCGAGCGUUAUCCGGAAUUAUUGGGCGUAAAGAGCUCGUAGGCGGUUUGUCGCGUCUGCUGUGAAAGCCCGGGGCUCAACCCCGGGUCUGCAGUGGGUACGGGCAGGCUGGAGUGCAGUAGGGGAGACUGGAAUUCCUGGUGUAGCGGUGAAAUGCGCAGAUAUCAGGAGGAACACCGAUGGCGAAGGCAGGUCUCUGGGCUGUAACUGACGCUGAGGAGCGAAAGCGUGGGGAGCGAACAGGAUUAGAUACCCUGGUAGUCCACGCCGUAAACGUUGGGCACUAGGUGUGGGGGGCAUUCCACGUCCUCCGCGCCGCAGCUAACGCAUUAAGUGCCCCGC